Molecule: ribosomal RNA, 333 nt
Filed under: uncultured soil bacterium
Lineage: Bacteria
Description: bacterial SSU rRNA
Rfam family: Bacterial small subunit ribosomal RNA
Source: RNAcentral
AGAGUGAACGCUGGCGGCAGGCCUAACACAUGCAAGUCGAACGGCAGCACAAGGGAGCUUGCUCCCUGGGUGGCGAGUGGCGGACGGGUGAGGAAUACGUCGGAAUCUGCCUAUUUGUGGGGGAUAACGUAGGGAAACUUACGCUAAUACCGCAUACGACCCCAUGCCGAGAGGCGCGGGGUGAAAGCGGAGGACCUUCGGGCUUCGCGCAGAUAGAUGAGCCGACGUCGGAUUAGCUUGUUGGCGGGGUAACGGCCCACCAAGGCGACGAUCCGUAGCUGGUCUGAGAGGAUGAUCAGCCACGCUGGAACUGAGACACGGUCCAGACUCCGU